CAGCCGCCACGGGAAAACGUAGGUGGCAAGCGUUGUCCGGAAUUACUGGGCGUAAAGCGUGCGCAGGCGGUUAUAUAAGUCAGAUGUGAAAUCCCCGGGCUCAACCUGGGAACUGCAUUUGAGACUGUAUGGCUAGAGUGUGUCAGAGGGGGGUAGAAUUCCACGUGUAGCAGUGAAAUGCGUAGGUAUGUGGAGGAAUACCGAUGGCGAAGGCAGCCCCCUGGGAUAACACUGACGCUCAUGCACGAAAGCGUGGGGAGCAAACAGGAUUAGAGACCCGCGUAGUCCCUGUCUCUUAUAC
Molecule: ribosomal RNA, 301 nt
Filed under: uncultured bacterium
Lineage: Bacteria
Description: partial 16S ribosomal RNA
Rfam family: Bacterial small subunit ribosomal RNA
Source: RNAcentral